This 261-nucleotide ribosomal RNA is filed under the name uncultured archaeon. RNAcentral describes it as "partial 16S ribosomal RNA". It matches the Rfam family "Archaeal small subunit ribosomal RNA", at positions 748 to 1009 of the family's 1478-position model. The record is from RNAcentral.
CAGCCGUAAACUAUGCGCGUUAGGUGUAUCGGUGACCACGAGUCACCGAGGUGCCGAAGGGAAACCGUGAAACGUACCGCCUGGGAAGUACGGUCGCAAGGCUGAAACUUAAAGGAAUUGGCGGGGGAGCACCACAACAGGUGGAGCCUGCGGUUUAAUUGGACUCAACGCCGGGAAGCUCACCGGAUAAGACAGCGGAAUGAUUGCCGGGCUGAAGACUCUGCAUGACUAGCUGAGAGGAGGUGCAUGGCGUAGACGUCU